RNAcentral lists this long non-coding RNA (1878 nucleotides) under Triticum aestivum (bread wheat). RNAcentral's name for it is "long non-coding RNA (TAES_LNC026549)". Lineage: Eukaryota; Viridiplantae; Streptophyta; Magnoliopsida; Poales; Poaceae. The record is from RNAcentral.
UUAGAAGCAUCAACUGCUACGUAAUGGUAAGAUUUUGUCAGCUAGUACUAAGGUGAUGUAGAGAUAAUAUUUGGUUUGUCGUUUAAAGUGUUCAAGUUUGAUGUUUUCUGGCUCAUGAACAUUUGCAGUUUUGUUUCAGUCCGCUAGGCCUAGGGGAAAUCAUUCAACUUUUUACAUGAUUCAGAAUUAAUUAAAAACAUUUGUUUAGAUGGGUUUGCAGUUUCGGCUGGAUGAUUCAAUAAAUGCACCUAUGAGGAAUUGAUAUGAGUUAACUUUUCUACGGAUUUUAGUAUAUGUUUUUUUUCUUAGGACCACCCCUAAUUUUUGCACUACGGUGGGUUGGCAGCAGGGCAGAGCAGUCUUGUAGCGUCGCCGGUGUUCCUCGGCCUCAGGUUACGGUGUCCGUUGGCAUGCUUCUUGAUGCGGUCUGUAUCUCCUCCCACCACGACGGUCGGCAACCAUGUCUUCACCGACGGAGCCCCUCUCCAUCGAUUUACAUAGGUGUGUGGCAAUUUAUUUUCCCAUGGCGAGUACAUACUUUUAGUACGGAAUUUAGUUAUCUGAGUUUAUAUAUAUUAAGUGCCCAUAUUUAGAUAUUAAUCAUUGUGCUUCUGAUUCUGAUCUCGGCCCCAAAUUUGUCUGUUUUGGACAUAUCUAUGCUACAGGCAUAAUGCUUGUUUUGAACUGUACGGCGUACGGUGCCGCCCAGGUACCUAGCUCUGUCCAUAUACAACCGCCAGUGAUUUCCAUCUCUCGAUUCAUAUGUUGUGUUAUGUUACGUGAUCGUAAAAUUGGGAAGUGGACCUUACCUAUGUAAUAAUAAUGCGUAUUUGUUGAAGCUUACUGGCACAACCUAUUCACAUCUGUACUGUAGCGGUUCAAGCAAAAGUUAUCUCCACGGGUGUGGAAAGGACCUUCACUAUGUAGUAGUAAUGUGUGGUUUUCUUCAUGAUUGUUACCAGUACAUGAAUGAAAUAAACAUCUGCUUGUCAAUAAAAACUUGAUAAUUGUCCGGUGCAAUUAAUGUCAACCAGAAAAUGUAUCAUAAUCUUCCAGGCCUUGUAUUCAGAAAUAGUUGCAUGGUUGCCUAAAAAUCAGUAAAUAUGAAAAGGAAAAGUGGUUAAAGUGGGAAGCUCCCUCUUUCUACUUUACAUUUUUAGGUAGAAGUGUGUCCUAGAAACUGGGUGUGUGUGCCUAUGCCUACCAUUUGCACGACAUGAGAGUUCCCACAAUCAGUUAAUAUGGCCAUCCGCCUAUCUAUAAGAAUAUAUGCUGCCAGCACUUCUGUUUUUUGUGGUCUUCCGAAGUUGCUUCCUUGGAACAUCGAGCUGUUAUUAUUUUUGAUGUUGCAUUUUUUGUGUGGAUGACAGUACUCCCUGUUUCUUACAAGCUGAAUCUCAUCUUCUCUGUCCAUUUGAAUUUUUAUAUCGAACAUUCACAUUGUCCCCGAAUGUCCCAACUAUACUAAGGAAAAAAAAGUAAAACUGUAGCAUUUUUUUCCUGUAUAACUUGUUUAAUUAUUUCAUCUUAAUUUGUUUCUUUCAAUAUCAUAUAAGCUGAUUCUCCCAGUGUAUUGACAACAUGAUGUCGUGUUGAACAGAAGGGUUCAGAAUGGAAACUACGGUUCUUCAAGUACGGGCAUGGGUUUCAUGUAAGCAAUCGGUCUUUGGUGUUACCUUUUACAAAUCAUGAAAGGUGACUUCAGUAUUUUGGGCAUGUAGCAGAGUCUCCAAUCAAAAUCUACAAGCAGUGACCAAGGCGAGGUGUAGAACGGGACUAUGAGUGCUUGGUCGAGCAUCUGCUGCCAUCGUCGAAAAUGAAGAACUCGAUGGUUAAUAGAAUCCAUAUUAUAAAUUAUCACGCGUUCAUAUGGGAUUU